ACACUCACUUCAGCAGCACAUAUACCAAAAUUUGAAUGAUAUAGAGAAGAUUAGCUUGUCCCCUGCACAAAGAUGACAUGCAAAUUCAUGAAGCGUUCCAUCAUUUU
This 107-nucleotide small nuclear RNA is filed under the name Salvator merianae (Argentine black and white tegu). The record is from RNAcentral. Lineage: Eukaryota; Metazoa; Chordata; Lepidosauria; Squamata; Teiidae.